AAACUGUCACUGUGCCAUUUUGUGCUGCCAUUAGGUGAGAUCUGCAAAAAUGAAGUACUAAAACAAAGAAAAGUAUGCAAUCAAACCAUUCUGAUCAAACCUACAGGAAUGCAAUUUUAACAUUAUAAAGAUUUUUCCAAAAAAAUUGCUUGGCUAAACUUGGACUCAAGCGGAAGCAUGAUAAUUCAAAGAAAACAAUUCAUGAACUUACUUCUAAUUAGGAAACUAGAACAAAAUCCAAACUUAAUAACAGACCUAGGUUAAAGACUCAAAUCGAAUGGAAAAUCCAAGAACAUGCUAAGAAUGUAGUACCGACUAACGGGUCUUAUUAACGAUUACAUCAAUCUGCUCAAAUUUCAGUAACUUCAUCUUACUUCAAACAAAUUCUAGGAGACUAUCGAAAGCUUCAACUCAUUUUAGAAUUUUUCUUUAAUGAAAACUGAAGAAAGAAAAUUAAGAAGAAAUCAAACUAAACUGAAAACAUCAAUUGCGAUACACAAAAAUCCUCACAGCCGCUACAUGGGAUUCAACUCACAACCAAGAAAAUCCCUUCAAUACCAACCAUCCACGAGCUUAAGCUAGCUGACAUCGACACCAAGAGAAACAUAAGCCAAACAUGACAAAAGGAAAUCAAACCUUAAUGAGCUAUUGCUAAAAUUUAAAUCAGUCACACUCGGACAAGCUGAAAUGUAGACCAGCUACUGCUUUAGAACAAGCAUUAAGUCGCUUAUCUUUUAGCAUUCGUAGCAGGUCUUGAUAAAUACUAUUGACUAAACAACACAACAGUAAAAAAAACAACUGCUUGCUGAUUUCAUAAAUUUAUAUUGAAGCAAAAGAUGAACAACAAAUCCUACAUUAACUGGACACGGCAAACUACAACUCAAACUAGCAGAAAUAGCAGCUGAAAUUACACAGCAAUACAGCAAACUGGACAAAAACAUGUUAGAGGAACUGAACUUGCAAGAUUUCUUAGGACAACUUUAGGUCACAGCCCAUGAAUCAAAUUCACGAUUCUCAGUCAACAACACCCCAAAUCAGUCUCCAUUCGUAUUCACAUUUUCAUAAAAAAAAAAACAGAACCACUCAAACAGACAUGUUCAAACUCAGAAAACUAACUCAUAGCUCAAUCAAGCAUCCCAAAAUUGUUCAGUGAUGUUUUACUUCUCAGGUUUCCAGAAAUCGAUUCAAACAAACAAGACAUUUCAACUCACAUAAAAUAGCAAAAUAGGAGAGUUUGGAAGUGAACCUGAAAGUGAACUUUUGAUUAAUGUAAUUUAAUGAUUACAACGAUUCUCAGAGGAAGCGAGUCCAAACAGAGAUCGCGCUGAACUCACAAAUCAGCAGCUAAACGAACAGCGUUGGAGCAGCUCGAAACCAACAGCACUCAGUGGACUUCCAUUAACUCAAAAUAAAAUUCAGAAAAAAUGAACUAAACCUUCGAGUUCAAACCAGAUCCAUCAUGAGAAUGAAAACUUCUGAACUUCAAGAUGAAAAGAACAAAGGACUAAGACUAAAAACGAAAACGAUUUUUUUAAAAUAUUUUUCUAUUGUAACUGGAAUUAAACCAAGAUGGUUUCAGAUAAACAAAAAUGAAAAGAAAGCUACAUUCGAAUCCUAAUUUCCAGGUGACCUCUCUUCUCUCCAAAAAAAUCCUCCUCAAUCUGUUUAGAGCAUCCCUUUUAUAACCAAACCUAGAAGCUUUUUCAAAAAUCCGAAAAUAUUCCUCUCUAGAACGAAUUCGGACAGAUGGAGAGAGGGGAUCGAUUCAAAAUCAAUCUACGGUCCCCAUUUUUCGGAAUUCAUUCUCAAGAAAGCGCAUAGGAGACGAAAAUCUGUCAGAGGCCGUUAGAAUAUUCGGUGACGUGGAGAGAUGGGGGGUGCGUGGGGUGAAUUUGAGCUUACUCGCCUGAAAUUUGGCGAGUUUGGACACGGCUCUGAAGUGAAGAAGAGAGUGAAUAGUG
RNAcentral lists this long non-coding RNA (1961 nucleotides) under Nicotiana tabacum (common tobacco). RNAcentral's name for it is "long non-coding RNA (NTAB_LNC012829)". The record is from RNAcentral. Lineage: Eukaryota; Viridiplantae; Streptophyta; Magnoliopsida; Solanales; Solanaceae.